RNAcentral lists this unclassified non-coding RNA (149 nucleotides) under soil metagenome. RNAcentral's name for it is "partial internal transcribed spacer 1". The record is from RNAcentral.
CCGAGUUAUACAACUCAUUAACCCUGUGAACAUACCUAUAACGUUGCCUCGGCGGGAACAGACGGCCCCGUAACACGGGCCGCCCCCGCCAGAGGACCCCCUAACUCUGUUUCUAUAAUGUUUCUUCUGAGUAAACAAGCAAAUAAUUA